AGGACGAACGUUGGCGGCGUGCCUUACACAUGCAAGUCGUACGCGAAAGGGGAACUCAGCUUGCUGGGGACCCCCGGUAGAGUGGCGAACGGGAGCGUAACACGUGAGGAACCUGCCUCGGAGUGGGGAAUAACCCAGAGAAAUCUGGGCUAAUUCCGCAUGAUGCAGCCGGCCCCGCAGUGGGACAGUUGUUAAAGACCGCCUCU
Molecule: ribosomal RNA, 206 nt
Filed under: uncultured soil bacterium
Lineage: Bacteria
Description: partial 16S ribosomal RNA
Rfam family: Bacterial small subunit ribosomal RNA
Source: RNAcentral